AGACAUAUGGGGCAAGCGUUACUCGGAAUUACUAGGCGUAAAGCGCGUGUAGGCGGAUAUUCAAGUCUGCUGUGAAAUCUCCUGGCUUAACUGGGAGGGGUCGGUGGAAACUGGAUGUCUAGAGUGAGGUAGGGGGAACCGGAAUUCCUGGUGUAGCGGUGAAAUGCGUAGAUAUCAGGAGGAACAUCGGUGGCGAAAGCGGGUUCCUGGGCCUUUUCUGACGCUGAGACGCGAAAGCUGGGGCAGCAAACAGGAUUAGAAACCCCGGUAGUCC
Molecule: ribosomal RNA, 274 nt
Filed under: uncultured bacterium
Lineage: Bacteria
Description: partial 16S ribosomal RNA
Rfam family: Bacterial small subunit ribosomal RNA
Source: RNAcentral